UCGAGAAUCUUCGGCAAUGGGCGCAAGCCUGACCGAGCGACGCCGCGUGGAGGACGAAGGCCUUCGGGUUGUAAACUCCUGUCGAGGGGGAGGAAGGUCGCGAAAGCGGCUUGACCGAUCCCUGGAGGAAGCACGGGCUAAGUUCGUGCCAGCAGCCGCGGUAAGACGAACCGUGCGAACGUUAUUCGGAAUCACUGGGCUUAAAGCGCGUGUAGGCGGAUGGGGACGUCGGUCGCUGAAAUCCCCCGGCUCAACCGGGGAACGGGCGCCGAAACGCCCCGUCUCGAGGGACGUAGGGGGACCUGGAACUUCCGGUGGAGCGGUGAAAUGCGUUGAGAUCGGAAGGAACGCCCGUGGCGAAAGCGAGGUCCUGGACGUCUUCUGACGCUGAGACGCGAAAGCUAGGGGAGCGAAC
RNAcentral lists this ribosomal RNA (415 nucleotides) under uncultured bacterium. Its description in RNAcentral is "bacterial SSU rRNA". It matches the Rfam family "Bacterial small subunit ribosomal RNA", at positions 355 to 773 of the family's 1533-position model. The record is from RNAcentral.